Molecule: long non-coding RNA, 3287 nt
Organism: Mauremys mutica (yellowpond turtle)
Lineage: Eukaryota; Metazoa; Chordata; Testudines; Geoemydidae
Exons: 4
Source: RefSeq, a predicted model, not a curated record
AGUCUCCUGCCUUCUUCGGCACAUACUAUGCUCUCGGAGUCCGAAAGGCUGCUGAUUUUGCUGCUCCAAGCACAGGUGGACAAGAAUAAAGUGUCAGGAAUGUCAAGCAAAGAAGAGAAAAGAAGACAUGUCACUGAAGAUUGCAGAGAAGGAAAGGGACUCUGGGCACAGUAACCUCCCUGUAUUCAGGCCUCAAGUCAUGUAAUGGCACUGUAUGGGGCCCUCGAGCCUUUUGAUACCUUGAGCUGCAUGACCGCCCUGUAAGCAGGGUACAGGUCUGUUUGUUUUUUGUCCUUUUGACAUUAUGCUCCGUUAGCUGGCUAGUGAGAGUGACUGCCCUGUAACCAGGGUGCAAGUCACCUCCGCCUGGUUUUCGAGGGACAUUGAGUUCUUUGGUAACUUGAGCAAUGUGACCCCCCUGUAACUAGGGUCUAGAUCUUUGCCCACUUGCUCAUUCGGCAUUACACCCACUAGUCAGCGUGACAACCCUGUAAUCAGGGUGCAUGUCACAAAUAUCUACAGAAUAGGACAUUUUGAACCCUUUGAUACUUUGAGGAGCUUGACCUUCCUGUAAUUCAGGUUACGUAUUCAGAUUAGCUAUUUGGCUAAUCCCAGUGACCACCCUGUAAUCAGGGUACAGGUUGCAUCUAUCUUUUGAAAUCUGGAGGAUUAGAACCAUUUGUGUAACCUGGGCAGCUUGACCUCCCUGUAACCAGGGUUUGAGUCUCUGAGGCCCUUUGGUCUCUUGGCCCUGUGCUUUCUUCACAGCCUGAGGCGAGUGACCGCCCUGUAAUCAGGGAUCUGGUCUUUGCGCUAUAGUCUCUUGUCACUAGGACAAGUGCAGCCAACUGUUCUGAAUGAGUACCCUGUAAAUAGGGUACAGGUCUCAUCAGACCCUCCUUCUGGUGCCCCAUGUAACUGUUUCCAGAGUCCUGGGCCUUCGCACUGUUUCCAACUUUCCUGGAAUUCUGCAUCCAAGUUUCCUGCCUUCUUUCCCACUUUCUGGGAUCUUAGAGAUCUGAUAUCCAUCUACUGUUUCUGGAGAAUUGGACAAAAUGGAAGUACACAACCAAAAAAACAAGAAAAGAGAAGCUAAAGGCCUGUGAAACAUAAGAAAGGAAACAAAUGCUGAGAGCAAAGUAUAAUUGUGUGAAUUUUUUCAAAGGUUUAUACCAUGUCCAGCAGCAUGGUAUAUGAGUGCAUUGGAAGGACAAAUUGAACAAAAUGACUAGCAUCUGUCACCUGUCAAAUGCUGAUUCAUGUUAAUAGACAGUAUAUAACAAACUCUAAAGCUCAAUUACUUGUGGCACCACAACACUGCAUGAAGACUAGAGAAUAGUUUCCUGCUACGACCUUUCAGUUCUGUAACUACCUGUGCCACACAAGAACUGAUAUGUCAUCUUAUUUUAUAAUCACCUAUGUCAUCUCAAAUUGUCUUUUACUAAUGAAUCCAUAAAGUAUGCUUUUGUGUAUCAUACUUUCUUAUGCAGAUAGAAAAGCAGGAUGUAUUUUUUUAUUUAAUUCAUGAAAUUUAAUCUUUACCAUUCUUUCAUGAGUCAUUUUCAUGUCAUUGCUUGGUCAUUUGGUCUUCUGUUUAGUAAGCACUCAGUUUUACUUUCUUAAAGUCUGCUGCCUACUCCAAGUUGUUCAAAGCUCAAGAACUAUUUGAAAAGGAUCGAAGAAAACUGAGAUGUAGGGUGGCCACCCUGAAGGGUGUUGGGAAACCUUUUUCAGUAGGCACACUAUUCAUCUUUCUCCUUUCUCUCAUCCCAGAAAAAGUCCAUUUUUGAUACCAAAUCAGUACCAUAGCUAUGAUGCCAUAUGGAACUGAGCUAAGUUUCUACCUAUGGCCAAUGAGAAAUUGUCAGUAGAACUGAUUAUUUGAAUCUAAAUGUUGAUUUCAUGUACAUACGUAACCAAGUAUUUAAAAUGUAUGUUUUACCAAGGUGACUACCUGAUUUUAUGUAAAACAGUUACACACAUAUUAGAAAAUAUAUUCCUUUGAUUUAAGUGUGUGACUUAUAUAGUUGAGUGACUAAUGCUUUAUAUACUCUUUAUUUUUACUAACAGGUUUGUCACUAGAUACCAAGGAAUAAUUGUAAAUCUGUAAUACAGAGACAUUAAACACAGAAGCACUACAGGAUCAUAGCUCACUAUUAUUAAUAAAUCAGAAUUUCCUACUCUAAGUGCAAAGAUAUAACUGAAGGGAGGGCAUGUGUUUGUAUUCUCCACUCACUUCCAAGGCUCCCCCCCCCCCAGCAAAAAAACCUGGUCAAGGUUGAAAAGAUGACCGUUUACUCCAGCUAACAUCUAACAAUAUUUUGAAAGCUCUGUAUCUCUCACACAUUGCUAAAAACAAACAAACAAAACUAAAUGUUAUUCUGGAAACUGGCAGUUACUCCCCCCACGUCACAACUUUCAAACAUCUAUUCUACUUAAACAGUCACACCAACCAAACUGUACCACACAUUCAAUUUUAACUUUGCACCUAUUGUGUUAGAACAAGUAGACUAUUUUUUGGUAGUUGGGUAUAUUGAUGUACGUGGUAAUAGUGGUGUUUUAAUGGGUUUUUAUGCUUAUUGAAUUAAGUGGAUGCUCAAGGAUGAUGAUGUGGAUGUUUUAUGUAGGUAUUUUUCUAUGAAGUGUUAGUAUUUUUGUAGAGGUGCAGAAUUGUGAUUGUGGCUGUUUUUCAGAUUUUGGUGUAGUGUCAAUUGUUGAAAAUUUUAGAUGUUUUUGUAUAUGUACAUUAUUAGAUGUAUUUAGAGGGCAAAGUUGAGGUUGUCUGUUUGGUACAAUUUUAUUGGUGUGAAAGUUAAUUUAGGGUAGGUGUUUGAAAUCACUUAGGUUUGAAUUUUAAACUCGACAGGGAUCCAGGACCCACCUGGCUACCUCAGUUCUUAUUGUCAUUCCUAAUUUCAAAAUCUGGGAUGAAGAUGACCUGGCAGAAUAAAGAUAUAUCCAGAUACUUUCAAGAAUUUAGCAUUUCUGCAGCAUUAGGGGAUCCCUUAAACCUUAUUGAGCUUUUUAAAGUGUAAUUGUGGAAAACUCUUAACUUCUACUUCUGCCAGUUAAGUGUUGACCUGUAUUAAAAGAUUUAUACUGGUAGUUGAUUCUGUGCUCCCUAAGAUGAUUUUGCUAAAAUCGCCACUUUAUGAUGUGAGAAAUGAAUUAACUAGGUUUUAUUAUACCUACUUGAUAAAAGUUGGAAUAUUCCAUGUUAAAUUCAUAGAUUUAGCUUUAUGACUGUCAUAUCACCUUAUUUUGCUUUCUGUAACUCUGUAAUAAUA